This 180-nucleotide ribosomal RNA is filed under the name uncultured Glomeromycotina. RNAcentral describes it as "partial small subunit ribosomal RNA". The record is from RNAcentral. Lineage: Eukaryota; Fungi; Glomeromycota.
GGCCUGGCUGGUCGGUCCGCCUAACCGCGUGCACUGAUUCGGCCGGGUCUUUCCUUCUGGCUAACCCCAUGCCCUUCACUGGGUGUGGCGGGGAUCCAGGACUUUUACUUUGAAAAAAUUAGAGUGUUCAAAGCAGGCCUAUGCUCGAAUACAUUAGCAUGGAAUAAUAGAAUAGGACGG